Molecule: unclassified non-coding RNA, 212 nt
Filed under: Hevea brasiliensis (rubber tree)
Lineage: Eukaryota; Viridiplantae; Streptophyta; Magnoliopsida; Malpighiales; Euphorbiaceae
Source: RNAcentral
UGCAUUUGGAGAACCCAACUGUGGUGAGCUGCCUGGCUGACGCAAUCGUGGAACACGAGGCACUCUAGGUGAGCUAUUGAGCUCUUGAUGCAAAAGGAAGGCAAGCUCUUCAUCACUCAGAACAGCAGAUGGAUUUGUAGUUGCUGGAGGGUACAUGGCUGUUGCAUGGCGCUGAUUGACCUUAGAUGGAGGAUGAAAGUUCGUCUGGCUAG